Molecule: ribosomal RNA, 451 nt
Filed under: uncultured bacterium
Lineage: Bacteria
Description: bacterial SSU rRNA
Rfam family: Bacterial small subunit ribosomal RNA
Source: RNAcentral
AUCAACGCUGGCGGCGUGCCUAACACAUGCAAGUCGAACGCGACUUGGGGCUUCGGCCUCAGUUGAGUGGCGAACGGGUGAGUAACACGUGGGUGACCUACCUUCGAAUGGGGGAUAACGUCCCGAAAGGGACGCUAAUACCGCAUAACAUCCUGCCUUUGAACAGGCGGAGAUCAAAGCCGGGGAUCGCAAGACCUGGCGUUUGAAGAGGGGCCCGCGUCCGAUUAGCUAGUUGGUGAGGUAACGGCUCACCAAGGCGACGAUCGGUAGCCGGCCUGAGAGGCGGACGGCCACACUGGGACUGAGACACGGCCCAGACUCCUACGGAGGCAGCAGUGGGGGAUUGUUCGCAAUGGGCGCAAGCCUGACGACGCAACGCCGCGUGGAGGAUGAAGGUCUUCGGAUUGUAAACUCCUGUUGCCCGGGACGAAAAGCUCCGACCUAACACGUC